RNAcentral lists this ribosomal RNA (500 nucleotides) under uncultured bacterium. RNAcentral's name for it is "partial 16S ribosomal RNA". It matches the Rfam family "Bacterial small subunit ribosomal RNA", at positions 30 to 523 of the family's 1533-position model. The record is from RNAcentral.
AUUGAACGCUGGCGGCAUGCUUUACACAUGCAAGUCGAACGGUAACAGGGUGCUUGCACCGCUGACGAGUGGCGAACGGGUGAGUAAUGCGUCGGCACGUGCCGAGUAGUGGGGGAUAACGCAGCGAAAGUUGUGCUAAUACCGCAUACGUACUGAGGUAGAAAGUGGGGGACCUUCGGGCCUCACGCUAUUCGAGCGGCCGACGUCUGAUUAGCUAGUAGGUGAGGUAAAGGCUCACCUAGGCGACGAUCAGUAGCGGGUCUGAGAGGAUGAUCAGCCACACUGGGACUGAGACACGGCCCCGACUCCUACGGGAGGCAGCAGUGGGGAAUUUUGGAAAAUGGGCGAAAGACUGAUACAGCCAUGCCGCGUGUCUGAAGAAGGCCUUCGGGUUGUAAAGGACUUUUGUCAGGGAGGAAAUCCCUAGUGCUAAUAACACUGGGGGAUGACAGUACCUGAAGAAUAAGCACCGGCUAACUACGUGCCAGCAGCCGCGGUAA